CCUACGGGGGGCUGCAGUGGGGAAUAUUGGACAAUGGGGGGAACCCUGAUCCAGCCAUGCCGCGUGUGUGAAGAAGGCCCUCGGGUUGUAAAGCACUUUCAGUGAGGAAGAACGCCUGGUGGUUAAUACCCAUCAGGAAAGACAUCACUCACAGAAGAAGCACCGGCUAACUCCGUGCCAGCAGCCGCGGUAAUACGGAGGGUGCGAGCGUUAAUCGGAAUUACUGGGCGUAAAGCGCGCGUAGGUGGCUUGAUAAGCCGGUUGUGAAAGCCCCGGGCUCAACCUGGGAACGGCAUCCGGAACUGUCAAGCUAGAGUGCAGGAGAGGAAGGUAGAAUUCCCGGUGUAGCGGUGAAAUGCGUAGAGAUCGGGAGGAAUACCAGUGGCGAAGGCGGCCUUCUGGACUGACACUGACACUGAGGUGCGAAAGCGUGGGUAGCAAACAGGAUUAGAUACCUCAGUAGUC
This 465-nucleotide ribosomal RNA is filed under the name Vreelandella stevensii. Its description in RNAcentral is "partial 16S ribosomal RNA". It matches the Rfam family "Bacterial small subunit ribosomal RNA", at positions 338 to 795 of the family's 1533-position model. The record is from RNAcentral. Lineage: Bacteria; Pseudomonadati; Pseudomonadota; Gammaproteobacteria; Oceanospirillales; Halomonadaceae.